UACGGGGGGGGUAAGCGUUGUUCGGAAUUACUGGGCGUAAAGGGCUCGUAGGCGGCCAACUAAGUCAUACGUGAAAUCCCUCAGCUUAACUGGGGAACUGCGUGUGAUACUGGAUGGCUUGGAUUUGGGAGAGGGAUGCGGAAUUCCAGGUGUAGCGGUGAAAUGCGUAGAUAUCUGGAGGAACACCGGUGGCGAAGGCGGCAUCCUGGACCAAUAUUGACGCUGAGGAGCGAAGGCCAGGGGAGCAAACGGG
This 253-nucleotide ribosomal RNA is filed under the name uncultured bacterium. RNAcentral describes it as "partial 16S ribosomal RNA". It matches the Rfam family "Bacterial small subunit ribosomal RNA", at positions 524 to 776 of the family's 1533-position model. The record is from RNAcentral.